RNAcentral lists this transfer RNA (73 nucleotides) under Yasminevirus sp. GU-2018. It matches the Rfam family "tRNA". Rfam says of the family: Transfer RNA (tRNA) molecules are approximately 80 nucleotides in length. Their secondary structure includes four short double-helical elements and three loops (D, anti-codon, and T loops). The record is from Rfam by way of RNAcentral. Lineage: Varidnaviria; Bamfordvirae; Nucleocytoviricota; Megaviricetes; Imitervirales; Mimiviridae.
GGCAAUUAGGGAUGCUGGUGCAUCUAAACGACUCAAAAUCGUCUUGAGGUGGGUUCGAUCCCCACAAUUGCCA